RNAcentral lists this long non-coding RNA (30950 nucleotides) under Equus caballus (horse). Its description in RNAcentral is "lncRNA (ENSECAG00000048383.1)". The record is from RNAcentral. Lineage: Eukaryota; Metazoa; Chordata; Mammalia; Perissodactyla; Equidae.
CUGUUUGAGAAUCAUUGUCUCCCGCACAAUAUAUAAUUUAUACUCAACAUUAAUCGUAGACAUAAUUUUUAGAUGUGGGUCUCUACAUAUGUGUUUGGAUAGAUAAAUAGAUGCUAAAUAGGUGAUAGAUGAUAGAUGGAUAAUAGAUAGAUCAUAGAAAGAUGGAUAUGUAGAUACAUAGAAAGAAAGAAAUCAUAUAUUAGACAUACAUUCAUAGACAGAGAGGCCCAAAUUUGUCUUUUUGAAUUUGGCUAAAAUCUCCAUUUAAAGAAAACACCCCUAAUAUUGAUUUUUCCCCAUUUAAUCUUAAAAGAAAUAAUAAUCUUACGAAGUUAGCAAGUGUUCAGGAAUCUGUCAAGAACAGAUUAUUAUGGGUUAUUAUUAUGGGUGUUAUGACAAUGAUACCCAAUGAAGCAAUUUAUAAUUAAAGCGUGUAGUAGAGAUCUCAAACCCACAUGCUUUGUGAAUUCUCAAGUCUGUCUUGUUACCCCAUGAAAGAAACUCCACUCAGGGAUGCUGAGCUUAUAUUUAUAUAGAAAAUAAUAGAGCAAGAAAUACAAUAGAGAGAUCAUCGUCAGAAAAAAAGUGUCGUUUUUUUAAAAAAAUUGUAAAAGCUUUAUAAGCAUAAGGCGUUUUUUUUUUAAAUCUAUUUUUAUUUGCACCUAUUUUGGUAGCAUGAUAACGGCAUUAUAUAUAUGGGAAUUACUUGCAUUUGCAAGGCGUUCUUAGAGAAGAACUUUACCUCUGAAGCCAUCUCAACCUUGUUUUAAUAAUUCCUUAAAAUGUCUUCGGACUAAUGCAGAAGCUAAGAUCACGUCUUUGAGAAAGCAUUGCCCAUGGCAGCGCUCCUGCAGCUUCAAAACCUCAAAAGUCCUCUUUCCAAUGUAACAAUUCCCUCCAAAUAAAUCUGCCUCAGUGGUGAAAUAACUGCGUAUAAAUGAGCAGCUUAAAAUUAGGUUGAAGUGAGAUGAGGAUUGCUCUUUAAAAUAUUGAGACCAUGAUGCUGAAAUUUUAUGGUUAACACUGAAAAUCUUUUGAGCUGAUUACUCCUAUUGCGUCCAUAGACACAUCAGUCUUCUUUUGCUCAUGUGUGUGUGUUUUUUAAAUUGAGCAAUCAAGACUUCAGUGAGAGGAGGAAAAAAAAUCGUUCAUCCCAUGGAGUUCUGAUCUUGUCUGUAUGAGACUUCACUGGGAGAGUCUGUCCUGUUCCUGGGCAUUGAGAAGGUUUAUGUCAGCAGUGUUUACUAUUACUAAUGCUAUUGCUUAUCUCAGGGUGAUUCAGAUGGGGAAAUUCAGGGUCAUGUAUGUCAUUCAUCUUUCUUCUAUUGACUUGGAGGUCCUUGCAACACACAGCCUUAAAACAAGUUGGACAACCAUCCCCCAGUUCUACACACGUAGCAACAUUGCUGCCUAUAAUAAGUCCAUUUAAUAUUUUGUUGAAACAUAGUGUUUAAAAGGAAGAAGAACAAGGCUUAUGAAUUCAGCGAUGAAUGAUGGUUAUGAUGUUGAUAAUUGUUACAGAAUACUUUUAAAUUGUAAAACAAUGUGUAAUUAAAGUCUGCACCAUUUAAGUUGACUUUUAUUAGGACAAGAGUAAGUCAGGUGAGCAGUAUCAUAAGUAUAGAAUUAACAGCUAAAAUUAAUACUACUUCCUUGAUUUAAGAAGAAGGGAUAAAAUGUACUGUUAUUUUAACACAGAGUUUAGUCAUCAUCCUCUCAAUGUUCUUGAGAUUGCUGGAACUGCAGGCUUCAUUCAAUCUUUUCUUAAAUAUUCUGUGAUUCUACUAAGGGAUAUGAUCAUUUAUUUUUUCAUAGAGAAAUACGCUCUCAAGAUUUACUGUGGACACACUUGUCCAUAUUAUAAAACCAUAUUUGCAAACUCACAUGCAUUUCUAAAAUAUAUUUGUGAAAUUUGCAUGGAACAAGUUUUUUCAAACAAAUCAAGCAAAAACACAUCUAAAUUGUACCUGCUUAAGAAUUAAAAUCUUAAGCAUUUUUGUAUGCUCUGUUCAAAAGUCAUUUCGUGGUUCAAAUGUUGUCUUUGUUUUCUGGCGAGUGAUAGAGAAAAUUACACUAACUUUUUAUCUCUGGACAAGAUGGUCUUAAAUAUAGCAUGUAGCCAAGAGAAGUGAGCACAAAGAAAUCGCAGACUGCUCAUUUUCCCAUGAAUUACAGGGAUUUUACUGCAUGUGAAAUCUCCGUCUUCUAACCUUGGUGCUACGGACAUUUGGGACUGGAGGACUCUCUGUGAGGGGCCUGUCCUGUGCACUGUAGGGUGUUGACCAGUAUCCAUGGUCUCCCCUCACUAGAUGCCAGGAGCUGCUUCCUCAAGGUGUGACAACCAAAAUGUCCCCAGACAUUGCCAAGUGUCCCUGGGGGCAAAAUGAAGCUGGUUGUGAAUAAUUACUCUAAGAGAGAAAUAAAAACAAUAUACAAAAUAUCUGAAAAUCAUAAAGUCUAUUCUUAGCUGGGCUCACUUCCCGGCUGGGCUGGACUCCAAGUUUCUGAUUGGAUUCAUGUGUCUUCAUGCUGGGACCCAGGGUGAGGGGCAGCAGACACUGAGUGCACGCUCCUCUUUGACAGAUAAUGGGAGCAAAGAGGACAAGCCAAAGCAAGCAGCCACAUUUAUAACCCACAUGGUGUAGUCUGUUCAAAUUUUUCGGCCAUAGGCAGUAACGUGUUCAAACCCAGUAUAGUGGGGCAGAAAUAUCUGCUCUGCCUCCUUUCAUGGGAGAUCGUGCAAAGUCCUGUGGCAAAAGGUAUAGACGUGUGAUUCUAUAAAAAGAAGAGAGUCGAGAAUUGGGAACAAUUAUGCAGUCUCCCCUUCUCACCAAGGAGUGCUCAGUAACUAUCAAUCAAAUUAAAAUAGAAAUUAAUCGCAGAAUGAGUCUGUGAAGGAGUGGGUGAAUGGGGGGAAGCAGUCAUAUUGGAAACGUCAAGAAAGGCACAUUUAUGCCCUAUGCUAGAAGCCCAUCUCAUGCUUUUGUUUAUUUAUAGUUUUAGCUUUUUUAAAGCUUUCUUGAAAAACAGCUUUAUCUAGAUAAAAUUUGCAUACCAUACAGUUCACCUAUUUGAAGUGUGCAAUCUAAUGGUUUUUAGUAUAUUCACAGAUAUGUGCAAUCAUCACCACAGUCAACUCUAGAACAUUUUCAUUGCCUCGAAAAGAAACCCUAUACCCUUUAGCUGUAAUCUCCUAAUCCUCCGAGACCUAGGUAACCGGUAAUCUACUUUCUGUCUCUAUAGAUUUUCCUAUUCUGGACUUUCGUAUGAAUAGACUUCCAUAAUAUGGGGUGUUUUGUGUCUGGCUUCUUUCGUUGAGCAUAAGGUUUUCAAGGUUUCAUCCAUGCUGUAGCAUGUAUCAGAACUUCAUUUCUUUUUAUGGCCAAAUACUAUUCCAUUACAGGGGAAGAUUACCUUCUGUUUAUCCAUUCGUCUAUGCAUGGACACUUGGGCUGUUUCCACCUUUUGACUAUUAAGCAUAGUGCUGCUAUGAACAUGUGCGGACAAGUUUUUGCAUUGACAUACGUUUUCAUUUCCCUUGGGUUUAUACCUGGGAAUGCAAUCGCUGGAUCACAAGGUUUUUGACAGCAUAGGUAAUCUUUUCUAUGACCUGAGAGGGCCUGUUCCUUUCAGAAUUGGAAGAGGAAUGUUUCAAGAAGUGCUGUGGAUAAAAUACAUCUUGGUGGCAACUGGGGAUUGCCAGCUUUGGGCCGUGGCUUUCUUAGGUAUAGGACUCAUGUCUUUUAUCUGGGAGAGGUGGUGUUCUUAGGGACGUUUAAGCAAUAUGCCAAGUUCCUUUUCUUUUACGCUGGGCUGUGUGUCAGGGGAGGAAGAAUAAAAAGCAGGUGUAGUGUUCGCCAAGACUGAGGUGUGAAGUCAGGAAGGCCUUGCAUGCAGGGGGUGGGCAAAAAUAGAUUAGGCAGAGCAUGCUCAAUGCCCAGGGUUAGACUUGGCCAAUAACGAGAAAUGGAGUAGAAAGGUACAAGAGAAAUUAAACCAACGGAGUAGAGGAAAAGGUCGGGGCACCAGCACCAAGAAGAGAGCUUGGCUUAAUCUCUGGCCUCGGAUGGGUUUGGGCAUGACCCUCCCAAGGGGAAGAUGCUGAGGGAAACCUGGUUGCAGGUGCAGGUGCAGUGCUGUCGUGCAGAAGCUUUUGCAAACGCUUCACCAAAAUGCAAUGCGGAAAUCUAGACGCCAUCCAUUGGCAGACUUUUAGUAUGCCUGUGUUUCUAUUUCUGCACCUGCACAUCCAUCAUAGUAAUUUUGCCUUUCUUCGUGAUUAGGAGAAAGAGAUGAUGGGUCUGAAUACCAAGGCUGCUCAUUGGAAAUGCUCUGGGCUUCCUCCUCCUUUACUGGAUGUCACACUCAGCAUCCUUUCGACAGUGGUUUGAAAUCAGUUACUCUCCCAGAACUCAUAACCUCAGGAUUCACUUAGACAGAGAAGGGAUGCAGGAAGCAUUGGGAAAAGAGCCAAUGCUUCAAAGGAAUUUUGUGCUUUUGUGGGCUCAGCAGCCCUCCAACCAGGGACCGUUAUUCUCAAGUUAUUGACAAGUUGGGAAACUGAUGCUUAGAUUACUUGUCAACCUCAGGCCCGGUGAAGGGUGUGGGUCGUGUUGAGACCAGGCUUUCCAACUUCCAAACCACAAUGACGUGAACAAAACAGGUUAUAACACCACGUCCUGCAGAUGGAGAGUAUCUAAGCCUGUGCAAUUUUUAAUUCUCACAUUUAACUCUUUCGGCUUUAUUUUGCACCCAUUCUGAUCCAAUGUUUGUUUCUUGCCUGAGAAGAGCCCCUAAUUAAACCCACAAAGGGCUGUGGGUAGCUUUGUGCUUUCUUAUGUUCCUGCUAGACGAAAACACCUGGGAGCUUGUUAAAUAUAGCCACACCCCAGGAGGUUCAAAUUCCGCAGAUUUGGGGUGGGGCCCAGGCAGCUGUGUUUAACAAGCUCCCCGGGUGAGUCUCAAACACACAGAAGUGUAUGAAACCGCCAAAUUAGGCAACUGUCGAGUUGCUUUGCAUUUAGGUUUGGGACAUUUUACUGUGGAAAGAGCUUCUGGAACGUGGUUUGCUCAUGGGCCCCCCUCUUUAUUUUGGUGUCAGGGCUUUCUUUAUGAAGGCUUAUGUUUUGGGCUGAAUUGUGCCUUCCCCACCCCCAAAUUUGUAUGUUCAGUACUAACCUCCAGAAUCUCAGAAUGCACCUUAUUUGGAAACAGCGUCGUUGCAGAUGUAGUUAGUUAAGAUGAGGUCAUUAGGGUGGGCCCUAAUGCUAUGGGACUGGUGCCCUUAUGAAAAGAGGCACAUGGGUCACAGACAUGCACAGACAGGGAGAAGCCCAUGGAAAGAUGAAGGAGGAGACUGGGAUUCUGCCUCUACAAGCCAAGCGACGACGCCGAGGAUUGCCGACACCCACCAGAAGCUGGGGGCCAGGCAGGGAACAGAGACUGGCCUAGAGCCUUUAAAGGGAACCAACCCUGCCCACACCUUGAUUUCACACUUCUGGUCUUCAGAACUGUAAGAGAGCAAAUUUGUAUUGUGUAAGCCAACCAGUCUGUGGUACUUUGUCAUGGCAGCCCCAGGCCACUAAUAUAGUUUAUUAGUGCAAAAGCAGAUACGCUGAAUGGCUUUUAGAACUGGGGGCAGGGGCAUCUUGAGGUGCAACUAAUUGGGAAAGUUAGAGGUGCAGAAGGUAGAGAGGGCAGCUGGGGGUGUCUUCAGGCAUGGGAUGCUAGAGAUACAAGAGAUGAACUACACGGGAGACAUGAAGAAAAUGAGAAUGAAGAGGGUGAGAUUCAGAACUAAGUGGGACCUAGAUUCCACAGUCCUUGCUGGAUGCUAGUUUUCUGGGAAGCUGGGGAUCCCAUGGAGAUGGUUGUGGGCGUGGUGGGGAAUUUUAGGCUCUAGGUCAGCUCAGAUGUGUGACGGGGCCAAGGCUGUCUGUCUGGGUGUGUGAGGAUCUCUCCUUCUCUUUGUGCCUCUCCCUCUCCCCUGCCAUCAUCUGGACCUAGCCCUCUGCAUCUCUGUCUUUCUCCUUGUAAUCACCUUCCUUAAUAUCUGGACAGCCUGGUGUUAACAUGACGAGGAGCUGCUUUCCACUUUGGUUUCUAGACUUUCUGGUCCUGUGCAUGAUGAAUCAAGCACAGAACCUCGCUGUUCCAAUCAUCAGUGACUCUCAAAGUCAUCCUGGACCAGCACCACUGCACUGACUAGGGAUUUGCUCAAAAUGCAGAAUCUUUGGUCCAUCCCAGACAUGCUGAAUGGGAAUCCCUGGGAGCAGGGCUGUGUUCAACAAGGCUUCCAGGAGGUUCCAAAGCACGUUCAAGGGUGAGAGCUCAGGGUACUCCCGUGGAAGCGAGGAGAUGGAGUAGGGUUUCUUCUUCAUGGAGACCCCCAAGGUUUACUGCCUGAAUCCCUGGGAGGAUGGUGCCCUUCUCCUGGAGCAGCAACCUAAGGUUGAUAUAUGAUGAGCAAAAUACAUGCCAGUCUGAGCACCACUGCAGCCCACCCCUUGGUGAUGGCCGUGGGCUGGAUGCUGUGAAAGAUGACAUGAGUGGAGCCAUAUUAAAACAGAGCUGGAGCAGCCAUUUCAGAGGAACUAUCUUGCACGUCUUCUUUCCUUUAUCUUCCAAACUUUACCAAACCACCAACAUUCCAAGAAGUCAGUAAGAAUGAGAAUAUCCUGUUUACAAGGACUGAUGGAACUAGACUUUGCUGAUGACUGAGGUGCUAUCCAAUCAAUGAAGUACAAGUCUAGCCUUGGGCCUGAUGACCAAACCUGAAGCCAAUCUAUGAAGUACAAACCCAGCCUCACCUCAUGGAACACCAAUGAACUCUUCUUUAAUACAACUUACCUCAUCUUCCUCCCUCUCUCCCCUAAAAACCCUGUGUCCCUCUCCAGAAUCAGGACACCAUUUGAGUUUCUACUCAAAGAUGUGUGUGCUGAACUGCAAUUCUUGAGACCCCCAAAUAAACUUUUUGCUUCUCUGGCAGUUUAUGUCUUGUAUUUGUUGACAACCCUGAGGCCUAGGCUGGUGCAACAUUCAUUCCUUUGGAGUCAGUUUACAGGAGGGCGUGGGGCUCUGUCAAGGCUGCUAAGACUCAGAGGCUUCUGCCUGUUGGGAGAAAAGUUAGAGCUCAUUUCUGUUGGACUCAAAACCAGACUCUUCUAGGCUUUCACAGGGGUUCUCAGUCAGGGGUGAUUCUGUCCUGUGGACAACACUUGGCAAUGUCUGGAGGCAUUUUUGAUUGUCAAAAUUAAGGAGAUGGGACUACUGGCAUGGAGUGAGGCCAGGGUGCUAUUGCAUUAGUUUCCUAGGGCCACCAUAACAAAUGACCAUCCUCUCCUGGCGUCCCUGGGCUGGUGGCCACCUCCCUCCCAUCUCUGCCUCCAUCUUCAUGUGGCUUCUCCUCUGUGUCUGUGUCUCUCCUCUUCUGUCUCUGAUUAAGGACACUUGUCAUUGGAUUUAGGGCCACUCCCAUCCAGGAUGGUCUGAUCACAGAUCUUUCACUUAAUUAGGUCUGCAAAGACCCUGUUUCCAAAUAUGGUCCCAUUCACAAGUUCAGGGUGGACAUACAUUUUGGGGGCUACCAUUCAACCCACCACAGGGGCCACCUUAGAAUUCUGCCAACCACACCCACUCUUUUCAAUGUUUUUCCUAACAAGGAGAGACAGAAGUUUACCUGCAAGAUUCGCUUUCCAUGAGAAUACAAUACAUGGAUGGCUUCUUCAGACAGCCUCAGAUCAAAUCGGACCUCUGAAACAUUGACAAUUUGCCUAUUUCUAACCAACCAAACAGUUACUUCCACAAAAGUCUUUUCCAUCUGCUGAUUUGGUUUUUUCCCGUUCUGUAUUUUUGGGGGAAGUCUCCUCUGAGCUGCGUUUCGCUGCUUAUGUACUUUCUUUAUUUUGAAAGGACCAUGUGUGAAACGAACUUCCAGUGGAUGAGGGGAGGAUGUAUUUAGCAUCUAGAUUUUCCAGAAAAUCAGCUCUCUUCUGUGUCACCCAGCCCUGCCAAGCAAUUACAUGGUUUUAAUACAGAUUUGAACGGUUGCUAUAAUUAUGCUAACCGUCUAAUCCAAUCCAUAAUAAAAGUGCCAUUACGAGCCUAAUUACUAUAUAAUCAGAAGUUUUCCAGCUAAUGGGACCACGUUCUUUGCAAGGCAAGGAAUGUGUGCUGUUUCCAUGCAUUAGCAAAGUAAUUAUAGUGUUGUAAAAAAACUACAGUGGUUUGUAAAAAAAAAUUUUUUUUUUUUUAGUUUAGGUACCCUUUAUUGAAUAGAAUUUUCUUUCUUGAUGAGAACAUGCAUUUAAGUCUCCAAGAGGAGCCUUGAGUGCGUUCGAUGAGGCAUUCUGUUUUCAUUGCAUAUGUUUGUCUCAAGGAGAGGGGAAGACACCAGCUCAACUGUUAAAAGUGUUUCUUCAUCGGAAAUAUUAGGAAUGAGACAUCUUUCACGGAAAUGUCUUGAGACUUAAACAAUAUAUGUAAGUGCAUUUUGUCAACGAAUGCUCAAAAUUUAGUUAUUAUUAGUGUGUGGAUUAUUGCGAUAAACAGAAACUGAGUGAGCUAAACUGGCUGGUCAAAUGGUUCAUGGUGUCAUCUGGCUUGAGUAGGGCUGAGGUUUGUGGAGCCUGAAAUGACCUCCUUUGGGGUCGUCUGUGGGGGUUCCAGCAUCUUCCAGAAGGUGCCAGUUGAGAUAAAAACAUAUGUGAGAAAGGAAAAGUGAAACCAUCAGAAUUCAUUAUUUUUAUUUUAUUAUUUAUUAUUUUAACUUUAUUAUUGCUUACUAGAACAAGUAGAUGUCCCUUAGGAAAAAUAAAGGCUCUAGAUCUUUUUAACGGCUUUAUUACACAGACUAGAUUGAUGCAUGAACGUUGUAGCCUGAAAGAAUGAGUGCGCAGACAGUGGCUAAGGAAUAAUGGCCGGGAGAAGGAUCAAGCAGUUGUGACUUAUCUGUUUGCUGCUGUGUGAAUGAUGGAUGUGGUGGAAUGUUGGAGGAGCACAGGUGUUGACAGAGGAGUUGACCUUCUCUUGGUUAGUAGACUUUGGACCAGUGUUUCUCAACUGGGGGAUGUCUUUGCCCCCUUGGGAACAUUUGGCAAUGUCUGGAGACACGUUUCGUUGUCACCCUUGAGGGGUGGAAAAGAGGGAGAGAUGGAGACAGAGUCUGAGAGUACCCAUGACUUUUCCUCCACUAUUUUAACCAUUAUGAAGUAUAUAAUUCAGUGGCAUUUGGCACAUUCACGAUGUUGUGUAACCACCACUUCUAUCUAGUUCCAGAACAUUUCAUCACCCCAAAAGGAGACCCCCAUGCACAUUAAGCAGUCGCUCCCCCUUCCGCCUCCUCGAAGCCCCGAGUGACCACUCACCUGCGUUUGCCUCUUCUGGACGUUUUGAAUCAAUGCAGUCAUAGGCUAUGUGACCUUUUGUCUUUUAUCUUUCUGGAUCUGAGUUUCCUGGGGCCGCAGUCACAAAGUACCACUGACUUGGGGGCUUAAAAGAAGAGAAAGUUAUUCUCUCACACUUCUGGAUGCUAGAAGUCCAAAAUCAACGUGUGGGGAGGUCCAUGCUCUUUCUGAGCGUUCUAGGAUGGGGGGAUCCUUCCUUGUCUAUGCCCAGCUUCUGGUGGCUUGCCGGCAGUCUUUGGCGUUCCUUGCUUUGUGACUGCGUCGCUCCAAUCUCUGCCUCCAUCAGCACAUGGUUUUCUCUCUGUAUGUGUCUUCCUAUAAGGACACAAGUCAUAUUGGACUAGGGCCUCUCUGCUCCACUCAGUAGGACUUCAUCUUAACUUGAUUGCAUCUGCCAAGACCCUAGAUCCAAAUAAGGUCCCAUUCUGAGGUACCGGGUUAGGACGGCAGCAUAUCUUUUUUGGGGGGUGGGAGGCACAGUUGAACCCACCACAAUAGAAGUGUUGAAAAUUCAGUGGUGAUGAUUGAUACUGGUUUUUAAAGAAAAACGAUAUUAAACUUGUAUUUCUAGUUUUGGUACUUAGUGAAAUGGAACUCUUCCAGCAGGUCAGAACAUUUUACAGCUUCUGUGUGACCAGUUCCUUGCAUUUAUAGAUGGUUUUGUUUUAAGUAAACGAAAAGGGACAAGAAGCUUAAAUAACCUACAGAUUGAAGUUUAUAUGAUACAACAUUAAUCAUGUGUGGAUAAAUAUUUGUAAACAUGAUAUUAGGAUUAACAUCUCUUCAACAAGCAUUGACCGAGUGCCAACUGUGGGCACAGAGCUGGACUCAAGAGCCAUAAAGAACACAAGGUGGGGUGCUGUUUCUCAACUAAAAGACAUUCUGAUUCCUGGCAUGAUUAUCUGUGAUCCAACAGCACUCAGGCACCAUUGCCACUUCACCAGCCAUACUAUUUUAAUGCAAUCUUUUAAAAAAAUCAAAAACUGCAAAAAAAUUAUAAGUGCGUGAUGAGCUACAAGUCAGCAUUUUAAAGAAAGACAGGAUCAGUAUGCACAGAUGAUGCUCAACCAGGCUAGUUCAUCCUCUGCCUUCCUCCUGCAGGGAAGGCAAACCAGGGGUGCUCUCAGGCUGAGGACCCUCCUUCCCGAAACAUCAAUCCAAAAGACUCAAGGAAGCUUUGGAGGAGGCCAGGUCCAGCUGUCUUUUAGUGCUCUCUGGAGACCCAGACCACUUCCUUAUCACCCUCUGCCCCAGCUGCUCCCCUUUCAAAGGCAGCAAAGAGCAUGCACCCCUCUCCUCCACCCAGAGGAAGCAUCCUCCGUGAGUCAUUUAAUCCACGUGCAAAAAUACAGGCAUGAGGGCUAAUUCCCUUUGGAAUGCUUUCCCACAUGGGUCUUGUUUUUGCUAUUUCGGGACACCUAGCCUUGUGGUUGCAGAUGGGUUUGGCACAGGCUGAAGGCACAGAGGUCCAUCUGCCAGCUUCUUUCGUCAUCCAAUGACAGACGUCUCCCUUAAGGGACUGAGGGCAUCUUGUCCCUGCUUCCAGCGCCCGUGCAUGGAUGUUUCCCUAAGAGAGUAACAAAGUGUCUGUUCUUUCCAGAUUCACCGCAGAGAAGGUAGAACAGAGUGGCCUUCACAUGGCGUGAAUGUUUAUCUUUGGUACCCGACACGCUGUUGUGUUUACACAGACAAUCUCGGUUUCCCAAGGAAAUAUUUGCAAGUCCUAUUUUUGACUACUGGGGAUGCACAUCCACAGUUUAGAAGCUGUGAGAUGCAUCCGAUGUGCCUUGAGAGGGUACAUUGAAAGCUGUACAGUGUUUGUGCCAGAAAAGAAGAAAUGGCACAGAUAAAUGAGCUAAGUGUCCAACUGAAGAAGUCAGAAAAAGAACAGAGUACACACAGAGAAAAGCAGGAGGCAAGAAAUGAAAACCAGCAGUGUUUAUUAUGUUAGAAAAAAAUGACAUAGAGAGGAUCAAUGUAGCCAAAAUUAGAAGCACUUUAAAAAUGUUAAAUCAAGUUAGUUUUAUUUUUAAUUUAAUAUUAGUAAUUUUAUGAAAUUUAAAAUUAUUUAUAAAAAUAAUUUAAAAAUUAUUACGUUCAUUUUAAAACAGUUUAAUUUUUGUAAAAUUGGUUUUGUUUUCAAUUUUACCUUUCACACAUUAAUUUAAUUUAAUUUUUUGAGGAAGAUUAGCCCUGAGCUAACUGCUGCCAAUCCUCCUCUUUUUGAUGAGGAAGACUGGCCCUGAGCUAACAUCCGUACCCACCUUCCUCUACUUUAUAUGUGGGAUGCCUGCCACAGCAUGGCAUGCCACGCAGUGCCAUGUCCACACCCAGGAUCCGAACCAGCAAACCCCGGACCACAGAAGCGGAAUGAGCGCACUUAACCGCUAUGCCACCGGGCCGGCCCCUAAUUUUAUUUUAAAUAAAAUUUCACUUUGUAAUAAAAUUAAAAUACACUAAAUAAAAUUUAAAAAAUACACUAAAAAAAUAAAAUAAAAAUAAAAUAGAAUCAAAAAGAUUCUGGUAAGAUUGAAAAUAAAAAGAAAAUACAAUGUGCCAAUGAAUAAUGCUAAGAAUAUAAAGGAGAUGUAAUGUCUUACAAAGAAAAUGAGGUAAUAUUAUGAAUAACUUUGUCCUGGUACAUAUAUAAAAAAGUUGGACACAAUGGGUUCAUUCACAGAACAAAUAUUUUACCAAAACUGACUCAAGUACAUAUGUAAGACAUGAAAGUAUUAUAGAAAGUUAAUACAUUCUCACCAAGAAAAUGCUAUGCCAAAGUGAUUUCAUUAGGUAACCGGAAAUUUCAGUAUUAUCUAAACUACUCUAGACAAUAGAAAAAGAAGCAGCACCUCCAAAGUAUUUUAUGAGGUCACUAAUAUUUUUAGAUAAAAAGCCAAUAACGAAAGCAGAGGAAAGAAAAUUACAGACCCAUCACGCUCGUUGUGAGCAAAAUUGAGAAUUUCAAAGCAAAGCAUUAGAAAAACAAAUUAAGUAAGCUAUUAAAAGAGUUUGGUUUAUGUCGGGAAAGCACAGUUCAACAUUAAUGUAUGAUUGUACAUUAAAUAUGACCAUCUUAAACGAGAGAACAAAAAAAAAUAAAAACAAAUGUUUCUUCUAUGAAUUGAUGCAGAAGAUAACUGAUAAAAUUCAGCAUCCAUUCCUGAUUUAACAAACUGGGAGUAAAUCAGAGCUUCCUUCAUCCAACGAAGGCGUUCUAUAAAACAGCUUAUUGCACAUCAUACUAAACAUUGAAAUUUUGAAAGCAGUGUCCUUAAAAUCAGGAGCAAUUCAAGGAUAACUUAUCAGUAUUUCUAUCUCACAUUGUCCGGGAGGUUUUAGUCAGUACAAUCAGACAAGAAGAAGAAAAAAAACGAAUGAGAACUGAAAAAAAGAUAAUCAUAUUAUUUGCUGAUGGUAUUUUACAUGUAUAUAUAUAAAACAUAUCCCCCCCCAAAAAAAACUUAUAGGUAGAGCAUGGAAUUAAUGAGUUUAGCCUAUUGCUACUUAUUUUCAAAGUCAAUUUCAUUUCAACACACCAGCACAAGAAUAUUUAAUAAUAUAAUAAAAUAUAAACCAUUCAUAAUAAGGAAAAGUAAGGUCUCUGGGAUUGCUCUACCAAAAGAAAUGCAGAUUUGAGGACCAUCUAGCCUGGGAGAGUCCCUUUCACAAAGGAAUGGAGCCCUCCAAAGAAGUGAGGAUGUGCAGAAUGGUUGUAUACCAUCAAAGAGAGUGUUUCACAUAUGAUUGGAAUGUCCCUUUUACAACAGUCGCCAGAUCGUCCUGUCAGCACAGUGAUUCACACAGCAAUUGAUGAACACAGCAGGUAGCAGAUCUGUGGUCUGGAGCUGGGUGGUCACAGCAGGUCGGCAAUCAAUUCGUAGCCUAGGGAGAGAUGCUUGUCUUUAAGGAAAUGCCAAUGUGGGGGAAGUUACAUCUUUCUUACAGGGCAUUGUUCUUGUCGUUGGGACACAGUAAAUAUUUAAAGCAGAUACACAAUGCGUGCUCAAAGGCCACGUCUGGCCCUUUUGGAAAAACAAGGUCAGGCCGAAUUAGUUUUACACAAUAUAGCUUCCUCAUAUACCCCAAUAUAUCCUAUUGCUCAUCAUUUAUUUAUCAAACAUCUAUGGUACCCCUCAGGUACCUGGCUUCAAUCCCACUGACUUUUUUCCCUUCCUCAUUCUUGUCGGAAGUGGGGUGUCAAUCCUGCUGGCUACUUCCUAGGGGCGAAAGGGGGUGAAGAUGGGGAAACUGAGGAAGGAAAUUGUUUUUUCAACCUGAGAUUGAAAAUACUCUCGGGUACCGGGCUAUAUUUUGCAUUUUGCAUUAUUGUUAUUUGAUAUUCCAUAUUUGAUUAAAGCAAAUUUACAGAACCCAAAACGCAAGAACCCGAUUUGUUUUACUUAUCUCACUGGUGUCAGCAGUCUUAACCCAGAACAGUAGCUUAAGGUCUUUCAGUGGCUCACAUGACCGGUCUUCUUCCUUUUCAGUUUCUGAGUGCUCUGGUCUUGGGGGCGGGGAGCAAGCCUCACUUGGGGUGUGAUGAAUUCAGUUUGACUCCAGCCAAGGAACAGGAUUUUUAUCCAAGAGACAACAAGCAGAAACCCUGAAGGAAAUGACUGAUGCAUUCUACUCUAUGAAAACUAAGAACUUCUUUUCUUGAAGACGUCAGUGAGUGAAAAGACAAGCUAUAGACUGAGAGAACAGAUUUGCCUUAAAUAAUCGACAGAGGAGUAGUAUUCCUAAUAAAGAACUCCAACCUAUCAACUUGAAAAGAGCACAAUUGCAGAGAAAUGGGUAGAAGACUCAAACAGGCAUUUCAAAGAAGAAGAAAUCUAAGUUACAAAUAAAGCAAUGGAAGUGGCUCGCUCAGUAGCAGUCAGGGUUAGAAAAUUAAAACCACAAGUGCUAUCGCCUAAUAGCAAAGCCGGCCACAGACGCGGAGGCAUGGGAACUCAGGCUCUGCUUGCAGACAAGGAAAUUGCUGCAGCUACUUGGAAAAACCCUGUGGCAUUACUCAGUAAAGAUGAGGAUAUGCAUAUGACUCAGCAAUUCCACUGAUUACUUACCCUGAGAGAACGCCUACAAAUGUGUUCUAGGAACUCAUGGCACCCAUGUCUGUAGGAGAAAAGAUGGGGGACAAUCCAAAUGGUCACCGAGAGAAAAAAAAUGUGUAAUUAGAUCGUGUGGUAUGCAGACAGUGGAGAAAAUGAGUGAAAUAUAGCGAAGGACAUCUACAACAUAAUUCCUGUAAUUCUAUCAACUGAUUUAUUUACACUAUGUGGUGAGAAUUUACCAGCAAUUUUGACAUCGUGUAAAUGCAGCAAGAGGUCGACCAGAAUUUCAGAACUGGAACAGACCCGGAAUGAAGAAAUGUCUGUGGAGAAAACCACUUGAAAAUUAUAACUGGUGGUAGAAUUGUUGAGAAGCAGCUUUUUUCUCUCUCUGUUUCACUAAGCACUAUAUGCCAUAUAUCAUGGGACACUGGUCCAUGUGUCAGCUUUGAUCUCUCUCUAGGCAAGAAGUCAACUAGACUUCGUCGUGCAAAGCUAUUUGGAAAAUAUAUUGUCUUCUUUAAAAUGGAAGCAAUUUAUUGUUCAUUUUAUAAGUGUACGUUUCCGUUAUUUUCGUGUGUCAAUAAAAUAACCUAAAAUUGAUCUAAUAACCAACAUAAGGCAUACUGUCUGGUCUUGGUGAAACAGGCGAGUCUUAAUUAUUAAAGGAAGUAAAUGUACUUCCAACAUAAUAUGAUCUUAAAAUGGUCCUUGGAAGACUUUCUUAAUUGUGAUUACUCCCUUGUCAAAGUUCAGACAGUAAGACUGAUUUCACAGAGUAAAAAUCGUAAAAAGUGAAUUCAUUUCGAUCCUGUUUCCUCAUCACCCAAUCUGGUGGUUCCCUUUCUCAAUAUUUUUUUUUAAAUACACAUUUCUGUUCAAUCCUCUUGGGUCCUAAUUCAGAAGUUAUCUUUGUCUUUCUUCUCCUUUUAGAAUGCUGUCAGGCACCACAUCCUGUUGACUUAGCUUUAUCAGCUCCUUCAAAUUUGAACCUCUCUUUCUUUAUCUCUGUCAUCAAUCUCCUUGCCAGAACUACAGGCAAAGACUGGGUUUCUCUUUGGUCUGUGACAAGCCCUGAUCAUAGCAGACAGAAUUGUGUUUCUUAGAUAUUAGCGGUCUGUUCAGGCCAAGACUCUCAAAAGCUUUCUUUUUCUGUCACUGGAAACAUAUCAAGGGGACAUCCAGUUCUUGAUCCUUCUCAACCGAGGCACGUGUUCCCUCAUGAUGAGGGGGCCUAUGUUUACCACCUGGCCCUUUCCAGAAAGUGUGUGUCAAUCUGUGGUGUAGACAAACAUGGUUCUUGUCCUCGCAGACUUCCUCAUCUCUACUGAGGAUGGAGAGAGGUGAGUACACCCUUGCAGGACAUUUGCUCCUGUCCGAAGCGUCCAUAAGCCAUUUGGGCCAUGCCAAAAGGUCUUUGGGACCAAUGCUUUGUGGACCAAAUGUCAUGAAUGUUUUGGACAGGACCAAAUAUCAAGGCCCUUUUGCUGUGGACCAAAUAUCUUUUUUAAAAAAGUUAUUUUAUUGAGGUCAUAUUGGCUUAUAAUAUUGGUGUAAAUUUCAGGUGUACGUUAUUAUAUUUUAGCUUCUGUAUAGACUACAUUGUGUUCACCACCAAAUGUCUAGUUUUUAUCCUGGACCAAAAAUCUUAUGAACGUUUUGCACGGGAUCAAAUGCCUGCUUAUCGAAUAUACAAUUAUAACCUGUUGUGGUAGAUACGAGGGUGAGGGCAGAACAGAGCAAUAGUGCUGCCUUCACACAAUACUGCUGGAAUUCAAUCAGAUGAAGGAUGCAACUGGCUACACCUCUUUGCCCAUAGCAGCUGUCUCGUCAGCGUCCCUGGAAGGAAUGAAUGAAUACACCAGGCAUUCCAUCAGACAUUACAAGGAACUCUACUAAACAUCCCUAACUUUUCAUUUUCCUUUGAAUACCACCAGCUUGAGUUUUGUUUUUUCUCACUUUUUCCCUACCUAUUCAUCCUCUGCUCACCGCCCCCCCGCCCCGCAAAUGGUUUAUAUGCACUUCAGAGAAGGAAAUUAAAAAAAAAAAUCAAUUCAAUAAAAAGUUAUUAAGGGCUUAGGAUGUGUAAGUGUCGGUGUUGGGUUUUAAACAUAUGAACAGGUGAGGACCUUCGUAUGAGGCAGCCUGGGCUGCCACAACUGAAUACCACAGACUGGGGAGUUUAAAGAACAGAAAUUUAUUUUCUCACAGCUCUAUAGGCCGUAAGUCCAAGAUCAAGUGGUGGGCAGUGUUGGUUUCUGGCGAGAGCUCUCUUCCUGGCUAGCAGACGGUCAUCUUCUCCUUGUGUCCUCACAUGGCCAAUUCUUGCACUCACUGAGAAAGAGAGGGAGAGAGGUCUCACGUCUCUUUCUCUUCCUAUAAGAGCACAGUCCUCUGGGAUCAGGGCACCACCCUACCAACCUCAGUUAACCUUCAUUACCUCCCUAAAGGUCCUGUAUCCAAAUACAGCCACGCUGGGGGUUAGGGUUUCAACCUAUGAAUUUUUGGGGAGUGGGGUGGGGAGCAAUUCAGUCCCUAGCAGCCUUAUUCAGGGUUGUGUGCUGAUUCCAAGGGACAUGACAGUUCCCAGCAGAUCCUAACACAAGAUCAGGGUACGCUCCAUAAAUGAGGUAAAAAGGACCAUUGAUCCCGAGGAAAGCGCCCAUAAGAUGGCUCAUGUCACCCCAGCAUCGGUUCUCUGUUGGGUGUGUCGGAAGUCCUCAGCAAGUAGCCCAACGCUAUUUACUUUGGUUCUCAGUCUGAUAUCAUCAAUUGUUAUCUCAACUGACUUGGCCGGUCAACUUUUUCGUUACUCUGCCGAACAAUUCCUCUGUAAUCUCCCUUCGAAAUCUCCCUGGACCCCGAAAUCGUUGUGUGGGCACGCCCACCCAAACUUGGAUGUUAGAAAUGCAUUGAAGAGCUAAAAAUGCUAAUCCUUAGACCUGGAGCUGGUUUUAUUGCCCUUUGUGGGCUGUGGUUACUUUAUUUUGGGGGAUUUUUUUCACUAAUAUUAAGGAUAAUGAUUAUAUUCAAAAACCAUCUAUAAUACAAAGCCCUCUGAAGGACUGAAGUAUAAGCCUCAGGCAUAUUUCAAGGUUCUUAGGCAUUUCAGACCCAAAGACGCAACAAGUUUUCAGUCAGCCAUGGGUUUCCUAGUACAACCACACUGAGUGUGACCAAGUAAGGUUUGGGUCUUUAGAGAAAGACCAAGUAGCUAACCAACCAAGAGAACAAGUCUGUAAUAAGUUCCAUGUCCAUUUUUCCAACGUGUGGCUGCCAGAUCAGAAUAAGAUACAGCCCCAUCUUCAAGCACGUCCCGCUUCCCCUGGGACAGCGCCUGCGAUUGUGAGCUGCUUCUCUCCAGGGUCGUCUUUGCAGGGGCACGUUCGGGUUGGAAUCUGUGCCCUCAAGUAGUGGCUGAACUCUCGUUUCAUUUACCUAGGUUGUUGCCAAUGCAAUUGUUAAAUAUAGGAAAUGACAGAAAAGCAGAACCCAUAACUAAGAGGACUAGAGUCAGGAGCACAAUGGCUGGCAGAGACAUUUCUCCACGUAAUUCUGUGAAGUUUCUGAGAAAGAAAACACACAAUUGCCUCCGGACUGUUGGAAACUGAUACGUACAUUCAAGGAAGCUUCUUCAAAGACUACACAGGAGGACUCCACUUUCGUUACUCUUUUUGGAAAUAUGCAGGCCCCUAUCUGCCAAAGCAACUCACCUUUUCAUUUGAAAUGUCUUGAGUUAGGUAAAGGAAAGGUGCAGCCAAAGGCGACAUAUUUGCUUGCUUGUUUUCCCCUUUGAGUAGUCUGCAUUUUAAGUAGAAAAAAAUGAACACGGUUUCUGCACUGAGUUUCUCAGUGUCCGAAUAGGACUGCUCUCAACAGGGCAGGUAGUGCAGCUUGCUGCCUCUCGGGCAAGGAUGUGAGCCACCUGCUCGCUUGGCUACCUGCGCUCAGGUGCCCCUCAUCUAACUCCUCAUCUCUCAGUCUCCGGGAUGGGCCCUUCGGUCUGGAAACUCAGAUCCUUCUACUCUAUGAGGUUUUUUUAGGAAUAUCAUUUUAAUCCUGUUUUCUUUUCCUUUUUUUCUGAAACUCCUAUUAUUCAGAUGUUUGACCGACUAGGUUGAUCUUUUUCUUUAUGUUCCCCGUUCCCUCUUCUGUCUCUGUCUUAUUUCUUUCCUCCUUUCCAGAUGAGUUACUUAUGUUUAUCUUCCAGCCACUUUAUGAAUGCUUGUUUUUGCCUUCCCUCUUAAAUUCCAAGAGCUCCUUCUUGUUCUCCAGAUACGUCUUUUUUAUACUGUCCAAUUCAUAUUUCAUGGCAAAUAGCUUCUCUUAGUUUUCUGAGAAUUCCAUGUUUUAUUUGAAUUCUUCUGUUCCUGCCUUGUCUCUUUGUGACUCCCUUAAGGUUGCUGUUUACCGUAUUUAUUUGUUUUUGCAUCUGUUUCCAUGUUGGAGCUUUUCCUCAAAUGCCCGGUGAGCCUUGGCUCUUCAUUCUUCUGUCAGAGCCUGUGUGUGUGCAAGCCUGGCUGCCUGGGGGCACCAGUACUGGGUGACAGCAGGAGCAUAUGGCCAUUUCUGCGGAGUUUUCAUAUUUUACUAUCUCUGAAACUUUUGUCUUGGGUCAGUCACUUCCUCACGGAGGAAUUCCUAACAGAAAUGUUUUCUGGAUGCCCUAUGGGAAGAGGGGAAUGGAUAUUUUAACAUGCAGUAUGCAGGCUUUCUCUCUCUUUCUUUUAAAAUUAACCAUUAUAAAGUGAACCGUUCGGUGGCAUUUGGUACAUUCACAAUGUUGUGCUAGCACCAUCUCUAUCUAGUUCAGAACAUUUUCAUCACUCAAAAAAACCCAGUAUCUGUCCAGCAGUUGCUCCCUGGCCCCUGCGAACCAGCUAAAUCUGCUUCCUGUUUCUAUGAAUUUCCCUGUUCUGGACAUUCCAUAUAAAUGGAACCAGACACUAUGUGGUCUUCUGUGUCUGGCUUCUUUCACUUACUUAAUGUAGUGUGCAUCAAUGCCUCACAUCUUUUUAUGGCUGAGUAAUAUUCUAUCGUAUGGAUGGACCACAUUGUGUUCAUCCAUUCAUCUGUUGAUGGACGCUUCUGUUGAUUCCACCUUUUGCCUCUUGUGAAUAAUGCUGCUGUGAACAUGCAUGUGGGUGUGCUUGUUUUGAGUCUGUUUUCAGUGGUUCUGGGUGUCUAUCUAGGAGUGACACACUUUCUCAUUCCGUCCUUUCCUUCAGCACCGUAUCUCACCUUGGCCCUCAGCUCUUCCUGGUAUCCACAACUCCAUAUCCUUGCUCCUUCAUCAUUGAUUCCAAAGAACACAUUCGCAGUAGUUUGCCAAAGCUGGAAAAACAUGUUCACUGGCUUCAAGGAGGGGGAACGAUUCUUACAGGGUUUUCCAACAAAUCUGCUGUUUCAGCCCUGCCUCUGUCCGUCUACACCUUGAGAGUCACCUGCUGCCUCCAAUUCCUGAGAUGGUCAAGAGUUCUGGAGCCAGUUUCUUGUUGCUUCCCCCGCCCCUGCCCCCCUGCCCCCACUAGCUCUUCCUUGCUUUCAUCUCCCUCCAGUCGCCAAAGCAGUUACUACUACCCCAUUGGCCCCCAGACUUUCCAAAGGUCAUCUUUUAUCUACUAUCUCUGAACACAUUCUCUCUGUUCUUUGUUUUCUCUUUAAUACCAGCAUAGAUAGGCUUUGGGAGGGAGAGAGAGAAAAGAGAUAACUGGCUGUAUUAAAUCAGCCAUAUUUAACAGCUAGUCCAUUUUUUUGUUUAUAAACCUGCAUUUCCCAUUAAUCUCUCAUUAAACUCAGAGCCAGGCAAGGGCACAUGGAAACAUUCUCUCAGCUUUUAUCCCUGGCUCCUUGCACAGUGCUUCAUAGCAUCGUCAAUCAGAACGUGUUCAUUAGGUGGGCAGACGUCAUCCAUCAAUGUCAGAGUUAAUUAGCACCUAGAGGUCCAAAUAUUUCUCCUGCUCCUCACACUUGCUGCAUAAAAAAUUAGAGAAAUUAAGCCGAGAUUGCCUAUCCAUGUGAUAGAAGGGGAAAUACAUGACUUGAAAUAAGAAGGUUUUAAAAUAUCCAAAAGUAUAAGAACAGUCAAGGUUCUGGAUCACCAGGAGACUGGGAGACUCCCCUUGUGGGGAAUGGCUGUGGCAUUUCAGAGCAUGAAAGAUAAAGAGAAGAAACUGUAGAAUAUUAAACAGUGAGAGACAAAGGGUUAAGGAACAGAAAAGAGAUUGGACUUUGGUGCAGAGGCUCUGGAAGCUCAAAGCCAACAGUGAAUGCCUUCACCAUUUUGGGGGGAAGUGCCUAGGAUUGCACUCCCAACCCAACGAAGCCAUAUGAGGUGAAGGCUGGUGGUCAUGAGGAUGCAGAAUGCCUCAUGGUGGUACCUCCCAUGUACAGUUGCUUGAAAUGUGCUGGAAGAUGCAGUUCAAGAAGACAGGAGGGAAGCAUGAGGAAGACAGGAGAUUCAGGAACUGGGGUAGCUAAUGGGAGAGAGGUCAGGGGGCUCUCGGGGAAUUCUACAGGAUGAAGACAAAAAUAACAUCCUGUGAUCAUGAGUAGGGGACUGUUCUAGCAUCUUACACUCUAUGUCAUUUAAUCCACAUUCCAGGACAACAGCUGUGGGGGCGUCAAAGAAAAUAGUAAACCCACACUGCAGCAGGAGGUUGGAGGGACCCAGAAAGCUGUGUUAAAAAAACCGAUAGACUCCCUCAUGUGGUUGAGUGUGUUCAGAAGGGAUGUGCUGUAUAAUAAUAAGUCCAUGAUAAGAAUAAAAAAGGCAUGUAGCAAAAAAGAGGUGAUUAGUAAGUCUAGGAGAAGCAAGAAAUUAUGCAAGGAAGGGAAGGGAAGCACAUCUCAGUGUUUAUAGUGUAUUAGUUUAGUAAAGAUUAUGUUAUAGCAGGAUGAUGAAUAGAAAGGGGGUGUGUGUGUGUGAGUGUGUACACACACAUGCUAGAUGAAAUAAAGAUGGAUGAGAAACAAAAAAACAUCCUCCAGCAAACAGGAAGUGAAUGGAUAUCAUCUAAAUCUAACAAAAAGAGAUUUCUGAGUAAAUAUGUUAUUUCGAAAUAUAGGAACAAGACCAGAAAAAAGUAAGAGUGAAUAUUGAAGAGAAGACACAACCUGGGGACUAUUUAAUUUUUUGGACUUUAUACAUAUAUCAUUUUGACAAUAAUACAAAUUAAAUUUAAAAGGAAAAGGAGAAAAAUUCUUGGAGAAUAAGAAAGCAUGACAGAUCCCUGAGUGAGUGGACAUAACAGGGGAACAGAUCCAUACACAUGGAUCUGUAGACCAGGUUCAGAAUCACCUCAGAACAUUCUGCAAUUAAGAUUAAGAAAGGCCACCAAAAAUUAAAAAUACAAAUACCAUAUGAGCCAGCUAUCCCACUACUGGGUACUUAUCCGAAGGACAUGAAAUCAACAAUCCAGAGUGAUUUAUGCACCUCUAUGUUCAUUGCAGCAUUAUUCACAAUAGCCAAGAUGUGGAAGCAACCCAAGUGCCCACCAACUGAUGACUGGGUAAAGAAGAUGUGGUGUAUGUAUACAAUGGUAUGCAACUCAGCCAGAAAAAAAAGACAAAAUUGUCUCAUUUGCAACAAGAUUGAUGGACUUGAGGGUAUUAUGUUAAGUGUAAUAAGCCGGACGGAGAAAGACAAACACCGUAUGAUUUUACUCAUACGUGGAAGAUAAACACAUGGACAAAGAGAAUAGAUUGGUGGUUACCAGAGGGGAAGGGAGUUGGGGGCGGGCAAAAGGGGUAAAUGGGCACAUAUAUAUGGUGACGGGUAAAAACCAGACUAUUGGGGUUGAGCACAAAGCAGUCUAUACAGAAACUGAUAUAUAAUAAUGUACACGUGAAAUUACACAAUGUUAUAAGCCCAUAUGUCGUCAAUAAAAUAAUUAAAAAGAUGAUUAAGAGAGGCCAAGGGUCAGAUAAAAAUUGAGAUUCCAAGGAGAGAUCAAUGAGUGCUGAUCUCUCUAUGGCAGGAAUUCCAGAAAGAGAGCAUUGUCUGAUCUGAAGAGAUAAUAACCAAGAAAAUCCCCAGGUGGAACUUUGCAUGCGUCUGGAGUAGAAGUGCCUAGCCAAGCACAAGUCGAUCAUCAGCAAUGACCCAGAGCAAAGUGCAUACCGGAACAGCCUGGUGACAGAUAUGUCAUCAACUUCCCCAAAGUCCAAGUAGUAUAGAGUGAAAAUAUUCAACAGGAAAGGAAAGAGAUCAAGACAUGAAUCAAGUUUUAAUCUUAGACAUUUAGAAUUAAGUUGCAAUUUCGUGGUUGAUUCAGUUGACUGACGUUUGUGUAUGAUCAGCAAUUUUACUGUAUAGCAACUUCAAAUUGUGUUUAAAAAUUGAGACGCUGAUCGUGUUACUUAUGUAAGUGAAUAUUUGAAAGAUUUCUUAUCCACUUAAAGAUUGAUUGAAUGGAGAAGCAAUACUAAGCCCUUGGUUUCUUUUCUAUGCUAUCAAAAAUAAGAGAUGAAUUUACUAGGUUAAAAGGAGGUAAGAAUUCUUGAGUUGCCCAGGGAAGAAUUCAGAGCCCCUGUGUUAGACUCUGGUGAAAUUACUGCUGAUGGAAACUGGCUCAUAAUGGAAAGAUGAUGAUGCAGGAUGAAAACAGUGAGGGGCAGUAGUUGGUGGUCCUUGAAUGAAGACUAGGUGCAUUGCUCCCAUAGAGAGACAUCUUCCACACUGAAACUUGGUGUCAUCAGCAGAGUGAUGUCUCCCCAAAGAUGUCUACCUCUGAAUCCCUGGGAUCAGUGAAUAUGUCACCUUACAUGGCAUAGGGACUUUGCAGAGGUGAUUAAGGUAAGGCUCUUGAGAUGGAAAGAUGAUCCUAGAUUAUCCAGCUGAGCCCAAUGUCAUCACAUGUGUCCUUUUAAGAGGGAUUCAAGAGUGUCAGAGUUAGAGAAGGAGAUACGACGGUGAAAGCAGACAUCUGAGUAGUGUGCUUUGAAGAUGAAGGCAUGAGCCACUAGCCAAGGAAUGCAGGUUGCUUCUAGAAACUUUUAAAGGCAAGGAAUGAAUUCUGCCCUAGAGCCUUCGGAAGGAACCAGCCCUGCUGACAUCUUGAUUUUGGCUCCAUGUGGCUCAAGUUGGACUUCUGACCUCCAGAACUGUAAAAUAAUGCAUUUGUUUUGUUUUAGGUCCAUUAGUUUGUGGUAAUUUUUUACAACAGCAAUGAAAACUAUUACAGAUUCCAUUUGGGGAAAGCUUACAUGGUGCUGAACACAGAGUGACUCCUCAAUAAAUGAUAGUUUCUUCUCUCCCUUCUCCCCUCCCUCCCUUCUUUCUUAAAGAAAAAUUCAAAUAUGUUAUAGGACUCUCAAUAUUACUAAUUAAGGAUUCUACGGGAGAAAAUUAUCAUGGCUCUAUAAAGAUAAAUGGUAACUCACUUGUUUUCUUCUCAGCUUGUCGAACACAGUGAAUGGGUCUUGGCAAGCUAAUGCACAAUAAGCAUGAUUUUCUUGCUGAUUCAUGAUUAGCAUGCUUUUCAUGCUUAAUAAUUGUGUUUCACUUCAUUUUUGUAAAAGACAGAUAUGCUAAGGUCAUAAGGAAGAACCAUGCAAUUUUGUUCCUUGCCUUUGAGCUAAAUCCACUGAGCACAUUUGUCUGGGAGUUUUGGGGAGACACUAAGAAAACAGAACAAGACAUACAUAUUGUCCGUUUUUUAUAUAUCCCAGUGGGUAUGGGGGAAUGAAAUACUUCCAGGGACAAGCACAAAAAUGGGACAACCUCGGAAACGUAGUUAUGGUUCUCUGCUUGCACAUAUUGAGAGUGGCAGGAUGUAUGGAUGAGUCAUCGAGGCACAGAAAUGUACCUUCCGUGAGGUGGGUUAUGGGUUAUGGGUUAUGGGUUCAAGUCCAAUUUAAUGAUCCUAAAAGCCAGUUUCCUGAAGAAAGAAUUGUGGUCCAGCGAUUGCAUCAGUCCCUAUGUGGCCUCCAUCCUGGAAGGUCAGGUUGCAAUACAACAAGGUGCAGAGUUGCCCCUGCGAGUCUCCGCUGCAGGAGGUGCAUUAUGGAGCUCACCCAUGGCAUAGCACAGACGCCAAUCUAUUGAGCACAUAGACCUGCCCAGGCGGCAGCCACACAUUCCUAGGUGCAGAGAAACUAUUUAGAGCAUAUGGGUCCAGCCCAUGGGGACCCUCCCUAUUUCCUCUGUCUCUUGUUUUCCUGAAGAGAUGACCUGUGCCCAGUUUGGAGAUGAACGCUGCCUUCUUCAAUUCAUAGCUAAGCCAGUCUGGGCUUGUGCCGCUAAGAGGCAGAUCCCCUGGAAUCAGUUCAGCAUUUGGGUUAAAUGCUGCAAAGCAGGAAGAGUCUGAGAUGAAGAUUGGAACAAGCCUGUGCGACAUCACCUCUGAAUUCCCUAGGGCCAGUCAUUUAAGGUAGUGAUGAGUCCAUUUCAUUUUCUUGGCCUUCUUGCUAAUGUUUUGCAUUUUGGUCUGUUUUCUGUUUAUUAUUUUUUAUUACUUAGAAAUCAGGCUCAAUGAAAAGAGAUUAAACCAAAUGUGUUCAGUUUUGUAAUGGCUCCAGCAAAUGCGGAGGAAUGGAAGGGUGGAAAUAAGAGAAUAGAGUGGGGUUUUUAGAUUUCCCAUAAAUUUUGUUUUUACAAAUUCUCAUUGUUUUGCACACACACAUGCACAGCUAUAACUUUCCAUCCAUCCAUCCAUCCAUGCAUCCAUUCAUCCAUCCAUCUGUCAUUCAUCCAUUCACACAUCCAUCCAUCCAUCCACCCACUCAUCUAUUCACCCAUCCAUUCACCCAUCCAUCUACCUGUCCAUCCAUCCACCCAUCCACCUAUUCAUCCACACAUUCAUCCACCCAUCCAUCCACCCAUCAUCCAUCAUCCAUCCAUCCACAUAUUCCAUCCAUCCAUCCAUCCACCCAUCUCUUCAUCCAUCCAUUCACCCAUACAUCUACCCAUCCAUCCAUCUACCCAUCCAUCCUUCCAUCCGUCUGUUCUCCAUCCAUCUAUCUAUCCAUCUUUUAUUCCUUCUCUCUCUCUGUAUUUGUGUAUUUUGAGGCCAAAAUUGAGUUUAAUGCUCCUUUUCUUCUGCCUACCAGGGAAAGCAGAGAUAGUUUACAAUGCUGCCAUGCAAACACUUUUCCUCUCGGAUGAGCCAUCCUGUUCAUAAAUGUCUUUUCGCUUUCUGCAGUUCUCCUCUGAUUCUGAAAAUCCCCCCUGAUCUCCCCAGCUUCUGCUCCAAAAGGCACAUAUCCAGCCCCUCAUGGAACCCAGAACAGCACCAAGAUUUCUAUUGAAGGAGAUUCUCUUUUCUUCAAAGGGAAAGCUGCAACUCUCCUCCCUUAUUAUGCAUCACAUGAUCCUGUCCUCAACAUCUGACCUUCAGGCACAGCUGGAAGGAUCAGGAUGAACACCUGACCCUAUCACGAGCAUUCCUUGAAUGGACAGUGACUCAUGACUUGUGUGGCCUUUCUAGAAAUGACAAGCCAGGCCAAACAGAGGCUUCCUCUUGGGGAUUUGAAUAAAGAUUGAAGGAAAUCUACAUUCCGCAAAGGCAUGAAAAGCUGAAGAAAUGCUGUUUGGUAGAGUAGUGCAAUGACAAGUCCAAGAAGCGAUCAAGAAGCCAAGAUUGAGACAGCAGAAGCAUCUGGUCAACCUGAAUCCAGAGGGCGCCAUUUACAUGGGCUGAGCAUGGGGCCUCUGCUGGAGAUGCAUGCUGCAUAAACUUGCAAGGUGUUUUUAGGGAGAUAAAAGAAGAUGAAAAUGGAGCUAACCUGAGAGAGGAGAGGAGCUACAUGGUUUCUGAGAGAGAGUUGGAGAGAGCAGUUGUUUCCUGGAGCAACUUUCGUCCCUGACGUGACUCGGUUGUACUUUCUGUCAAACCCAGAUAUUCCCAGUCCUUGAAUUCCUAGGAGAGCUCAACCUUCUUGUCCAAUACAACAAUCUUCCAGCUUCCUUCCCUUAAGAGCUUGAAUCACUCUUGGUUUCUCGAAAGAAAGAGGUUGUGAGAACAGGAGGACAAGAAUGACAGGACCCUGAAGGAGAAGAACUCGUGUUGGCUGAACACUCAUCGACACUCGGGUACCGUGUGAGGUACUUUCAUGGGCAGUAUCUCAUUUUAUCCCCGUGCAUUUAGGAGGCAGAAAUUGAGGCGACCUAACUGGUUCAAAAUCACCUUGUCAUGGUGGAGGGGACUUUUAGCCCAUUCUUUCUGAAUCCAAAACCUCCCUCUGAAUCUUCUUGUUCAGUCUGUAAGCAUCCUGAUCUCCAGUUUAGGAAAAUGGUUGUUUGAUAGAGAAUAAGAUGGUUUUUUCUCCUUACGAUCACUUCCUUUCUACAGAAGGGGGCAUCGUGACUAAUUGAAAACAUCAGUUUUACUUUAUUUUUUGUUGUAGUACAAAAGGAAGACACAGGUGAUUUUAAAACAGAAGUGUGUGAAUAAAAUAGACUCAUCCCCUGUUAGGGUCUUUAUGUCAAUGACCCGUUUUCCCAUUUAGGACUUGCAGUGAGUUGAAUGGUGGCCCAUCAAAAGACAUGACCACAUCCCUGUGAACGUGACCAUAUUUGGGAAGAGUCUUUGCAAAUGUAAUUAGGUGAAGAAUCUUGAGAUGAGAAUAUCUGGGAUGAGGGUGGUCCUAAAUCCAAUGACAACUGUCCUUAUAUGAUACAGAAGAGAAAAGACACAGACACAGAGGAGAAGCCAUGUGAAGGCCGAGGCAGAGAUGGAAAGGAUGUGGCCACAAGCCAAGGGACACUUGGAGCCCGCAGAAGCUGGAAGAGGCAGAAAGGCACCCCCCUGGAGCCUCGGGAGGGAGAGCAGCCCUGCAUCACCUUUAUCUCAGACUUCCGGUCUCCAGGACUGAGAGAGGGGAUAAAUUCCUGCGGUUUGAAGCCCCCCAGUUUGUGAUACUUUGUUAGACCUGCCAUGGGAAACUCACGCAGGGCUCUUCCUCUAUUUUUCUGUGCUUUCGUUAUUUAUGGGACCUGUGUACAAUGUUUUUAUGUUUAAUACAUGGGCUGUAUUGAUUCCUGAUCUGGAAAAUCUCUUAAAAAAUAAGAGAGAACUUAAUAAGAAAAAAUUAAACCACCCAUAUCUCACUAUCCAAUUUUAUCAGAAUAAAAUAAGGAUGAAAUGUCAUUAAGACUGAUGACACAACAUUUUCAUAUUUCAAGUUCCACUUAUAAAAGCGCUCCCCCAACACAAUCUCCCCAUACCCACCUUCCCACCAUGAUCAUAGUUAUCAGAAGUUGAGAGAGAGAAAUCUUUAUUGAUCUCUAAAAAUUACUGGAUUGAGUGAUUCUCAUGCUUCACUACCUUGUAAGUUUUUAGUAUUGUUUUCCAAACUUUUCAGAUAAAGAAUCUGUGCCUCAAAGGGAUUGUUUCUUGACCAAGGUCACCCAGCUCAUGCAGGACAGACGUGGUAUUGCUUUAUUGUAAACAUGCAGCAAUCCUCUGGGGACCCUGUUAGAAUCACAAACUUGUGGGGUACACUCAGCCCAGAAACCCACCAGGGUAGGGAUGGACUACAAGAAUCCAUGAUUUUGACUUGCAAGUCAACUAAUGAAAGGCAAUUGUUCUCAACCACAUUUGGAGAUGUGAGGAGGAGAUUCCACGAGUCUCGUUGUUGGAGAAAUCGUUCCCCAAGUUCAGAGAAGGGAUGGAUGGGUGGGCUCCCCCUCUUUCUGUUCCUUUCUUGGUGCCAGCAAUGCAGGGUACUGGGAACAACCACUGAAGUAUUCCUUAUGGAAUAUUUGUACAGUUCCCAAAACUGGAGUGAGAGGAAACACGUUUGCUUGGAGAGAAAGGUCUAAGUCUUGCAAGACCGUACAGAUCUGGAGGGGUUUAGUGCUGAAUUUUUGAGUCUGAGGGAGUAAGAUGUCACCAUAUUUGGGGUCCUCCAUUUGCAGAAGCCCCUGAGGCUGGGAGUGCUUUGGGAUUGAGAUUAUCCAGGUAGAGGCAGUCUUCACGGUACCAACGGACUGCUGCCGACUCUCUUCCGUCAUAGACUCUUCUAGAUUAAUGGUUUAUAAAGAAGGGGCUGUGUUCCCCCAGGGAGGAAGUAAGAUGAUCUCGUUGGGUAUGGAAAAAUAUGAGAACUUCUACAUAUAUGUAUUUUAUUUACUAAACAGGAAAAAAUAAGCCUUGCUAAUAUGUAGUCUAUUGACAAUUGUACUUGUAUACAUAUCGAGCAUGUGCUGAAAAGUUUUAUAAUAUUGAGCAUAAUCAAAAAACAUGACCACGAUUGCUGUAGACUUUAGACUUCAUCUACUCACUUCCUCUUUCCGUCUCUCACAAAGCAGUUGAGAUUUCUCAUUUUUGGUUAAUGUCCUGCCCACACCCACACCCUUUUUUCAGUGUGUAGGAUUUCUGUACUUCCAUGUUUUUAUUUCACUGAGGAUUUUUGGAGAAAUGAGAGUCAAACUGAUAGCCCAUCCUGACCCAUUUCUGCGUCUUCUUUACAACCAGAGAACACAUGUCAAUUUUGGAAUGGUGAUCUGGUGUUCUAGGUGCAGGUGGGUGUGCUUGUGUGUGUGAAUGUGGUGUGCAUGUGAGUAGGCUGUGUGUCUGGGUGUAUUCAAGUGCACAUGUACAUGGUAUGUAUGUUUGCAUGUGUAUGUGUGUGUGCGUGCACUGUGUAGUGUGUGCAUGUGCAAUAUGUGGGCAUGUGUGGUGUAUAUUGACUGUGUAUGUGCAUCUGUGGUGUGUGUUGUGUGCUUAUGUGUAAAUGUGGGGUGUUUAGUGUGUGCAUGUAUAUGUGUGGUCUGUAUAGGCAUAUGCACGUGUGGGGUAUGUGUGCAUGCUUACAUGCAUGGUGUGGAUGCCUAUGUGAUGUGUUUGCGUGCACACGUGCAAUGUGUGUUUAGCAUGUAAACUGGUAUAUGUGCAUGUAUAGUGUAUACAUGUAUGUAUGCACAUGUGUGAUGUGUGUUUGGUGUGCAUGUUUGUGCGUGGAUGUGUAUGUGUCAGUAGGAGGCUGAUGCUACAUGCACGAGGGAAUUAAAAUCCAUUCAAUCCAGUUACUUCAGUCCAGUGUAAGCCUAGACACAAUCCCUUCAGGGGAAAUACUGUCAUUAUGAUUUCCCCUCCAUCUCUCCUCCCUGAGUGACAUCUGGGCUCUGAAGGGGGCUUCUGUGCCUUCCAGGAAGUGGAGCAAAGGGUCCAGGUUGCCAGGUGCUGUGCUCUGCUGUCUCAGGUCUUUUAGUCUAUGUUCCAGGAUGUCCUGGGAGCUGCUGGCACUCGUGGCUGAUGUCCAUGGCUGGCGAGCUCUGUGGUCUGGCCAAGGGCAGAUGGUGCUUCUGGCUGCAAUUGUACCAGAGUAGCACCCUCCAGUGAGUCGCUGCAGUAUCUUCCACCCCAUCCUAAUGCAAUCUGUCCUGUCCCGUGACCUGGCUAUGGGGUCAUGUUGUUCCCCCAUCAGGGGCCUCAGUCUCUUCCAGUGGCUUGCCCUUCACCAUCUGCACCCUUCAUGAAGAGCACAAAUGAGGCUCGGAUUGGGGCAGGUGGGGGGGGGGGGGCAACUGUACCCUUUCUGUGCCAAGCAAAUGUGACCAUUCAAGAACAGACGGGAGCUGUGAAUAAACUCAACCCCAGUGCUUCUCUCUGGGAGCCGAAGACCCGAUUGCUGCUUUCAAGGUGUCCACCGCAUGGGAGAUUUCCUCCUCUUUGCAGAACCAGUCUCUGUAGGAGCCAGAGCAUCACGGACAGAAAGACAUCUCAUCCUGGAGAGAAAAAUGGUACUGCAGAGGAAGCAAGAGUUCUGCGGCCAAAUGAAUUUAGACUGUAAUCCUGGCUAGUUUAUGGUCCUCCAGAGAGUGCUGUAGCCUCUUUCUGCCUCAGUUUCCUCAUCUGUGCAAAUCGGGUUGGUGGUGUCACCCUCUCAGUGAUAAGGAGCCCUGGGAGGGGGCGGUGCUGAGUGGACCCUCAGGACUCAUGCACGUCCUGUAACAGUAUAGAACAUUGAUGGCUGACUGCACGGCGGAAUGCCAGGUCAUGGAGAAUAGGAACAGGUCACAGUGGGUCCCAGAGACUCCUUUGUUCCAGAGCAAGGUCUAGAUGACUUUGUUCCUAGGGGGCACUUGGCAAUGUCUGAAGGUCAUGUGUUGGUGGUCACAACUGGUGCAGAUGUGAGCUGUUGGCACCUUGUGGGUGGAGACCAGGGAUGAUGCUCAACAUCUUACAGGGCACAGGGCAGCCCCCAGCGCAGAGAAUGGUCCUGCCCAAUGGCAAUAGUGCUGAGGUUGAGAAAGUUUGCCUUUGCAUGAGAGAUCCCUUCUCUCUUUCUCAUCUUUCUCUCUCUCUCUGUCUCUGUAUCUAUCUAUAUCUCUUAUCAUGUAUCUAUAUAUCUUUUGUCUAUCCUCUAUCAUUAUUUAUCAAUCAUUCACCUAUCAUUAUCCAUCUAUCAAUCAUUUAUCUAUCAAUCAAUCUAUCAUCUAUCUGUUCAUCAUGUCUUUAUCUCUCUCUAUCUAAAUAUGGCUGAUUUAAAUCGAAUCAGUUGUAUCUCUCUAUGUAUAAAAUAUACUCUUUUACAUUCCUUUAUAUGU